Molecule: ribosomal RNA, 767 nt
Filed under: uncultured bacterium
Lineage: Bacteria
Description: bacterial SSU rRNA
Rfam family: Bacterial small subunit ribosomal RNA
Source: RNAcentral
GCUGGCGGCAGGCUUAACACAUGCAAGUCGAGCGGGGAAAGGUAGCUUGCUACUCUACCUAGCGGCGGACGGGUGAGUAAUGCUUAGGAAUCUGCCUAUUAGUGGGGGACAACAUCUCGAAAGGGAUGCUAAUACCGCAUACGUCCUACGGGAGAAAGCAGGGGACCUUCGGGCCUUGCGCUAAUAGAUGAGCCUAAGUCGGAUUAGCUAGUUGGUGGGGUAAAGGCCUACCAAGGCGACGAUCUGUAGCGGGUCUGAGAGGAUGAUCCGCCACACUGGGACUGAGACACGGCCCAGACUCCUACGGGAGGCAGCAGUGGGGAAUAUUGGACAAUGGGGGGAACCCUGAUCCAGCCAUGCCGCGUGUGUGAAGAAGGCCUUUUGGUUGUAAAGCACUUUAAGCGAGGAGGAGGCUACCGAGAUUAAUACUCUUGGAUAGUGGACGUUACUCGCAGAAUAAGCACCGGCUAACUCUGUGCCAGCGGCCGCGGUAAUACAGAGGGUGCAAGCGUUAAUCGGAUUUACUGGGCGUAAAGCGCGCGUAGGUGGCCAAUUAAGUCAAAUGUGAAAUCCCCGAGCUUAACUUGGGAAUUGCAUUCGAUACUGGUUGGCUAGAGUAUGGGAGAGGAUGGUAGAAUUCCAGGUGUAGCGGUGAAAUGCGUAGAGAUCUGGAGGAAUACCGAUGGCGAAGGCAGCCAUCUGGCCUAAUACUGACACUGAGGUGCGAAAGCAUGGGGAGCAAACAGGAUUAGAUACCCUGGUAGUCC